CAAAAGGUUGGAUUUUUACAUUUUGCUUUCGUGGAAAGUUUUUACCUUGGAUGCAGAGGGGCUGGACUUGAGAGAAAAAAGAUUUCACAAAACCUUUUUCUGAUAUCCACAACAACUGAACAUGUAAGCCACUGGAAUCAACAGAUCAUUACUCCUUGGUUGGGAGGAAGGAAAGGAGGGGUACGUUUUUGAACUUUACUUUGGUUGGAAGUUCAUAAUAAAAAGAAAAAAGGGUAGAAAUUAAGGAAGAACCCUCUGUCAUAAACCCCAUUUUUGCUCUCGCCCAAAUUGAGAGGAAAGCAAAGGAGGGUCGGUACUACUAUGAAACUUAAAAUAUUCUGAUUAUACCCUCAAAAUAAAAAGGAGAAAAUUAUAAUUCAUAAGGGUAUUCUUCUAACAUGGUUCAUAAAUGCUCAUUUUCAUUUAUUUUCUUUAACCUCACAACCAAAAGUAAGGAAAAUAUAACAUUCUUCCUUUCAUAUCUUUCCUAUCAAAGGAUUAGUUUUUGUUCCUUUCUUUUCUCCAAAACACAGAUGUUCUUAAAUGCCUUUUACCAGAAAUUCUGUUGCAUCUUAUUUUAUGCAUUAAUUAUGGGCUUUAUAUACCAAUUCUAUUUUAUAAAUCUGUUAAUUUGGUACGUCCAGCUUACUACUGAAACUAGAAAUUUGAAUUUAGUGAACCCAACUUGUAUGUUAGCCUGCUCGCUCCAAAUGGCAGGAUAAUAACAAAAUAUCGGCUUAUUUUCAGUGAUAUUUUUGUAGGACCUGAUACCAUUGAAGCUCGUGCCAGAGCCACCAUAUCUAAAAUUUAAGGUGCUGGGGAAGAUAGUAGAGAACUUUCUUUUCCCUGUAUUUUAUUGAUUUUGAAUUUUCUGUAUAGAUUUGAGAAAUUUUAGUUAACCAUGUGAAUUUUUUUCACAUAAUUUUUUCAAGCAUUAUAUGAAUAAUGUAUCAUGAUAGUAAUAUUAAUUUUAGACUGGCAUAGAAAAUGUUGCUGGUAACACAACUUACUGUAACCCAACAAGAGGAAAGUUGUUGGAUAAUAAGUGCAUAGUAUCUAUCUGAAAUUGACAUUAAUAAUUCCAAAAUUUUCUUCAGUUUCAUGUUAACCAGACAUUGGGUGGUGGAAAUUGUUACAGAAUAUGCACAGGCUCCAUUGAGAGUAAGUUUAGAAACUUGUUUGAUGUACAGACACUGAAGCAGGGGGGAUGAAACUGUAGUAUUUUAAGAUUAGGUAUGUACUGAGAGAAGUAUGGUGUACAGAAUCAUGGAGAAGCUUAUAUUUAGCAUGAGAAUAAUAAGAAUACAUCAAUUACACCAUAAGCGCAGCACCACUCAU
This 1338-nucleotide long non-coding RNA is filed under the name Panax ginseng (ginseng). Its description in RNAcentral is "long non-coding RNA (PGIN_LNC007058)". The record is from RNAcentral. Lineage: Eukaryota; Viridiplantae; Streptophyta; Magnoliopsida; Apiales; Araliaceae.